Diplodia seriata is the source of this 86-nucleotide non-coding RNA. Lineage: Eukaryota; Fungi; Ascomycota; Dothideomycetes; Botryosphaeriales; Botryosphaeriaceae. The record is from Rfam.
GCCCGCAUGGCUUAGUGGUACAGCGUCGCACUCGUAUGGCCUUUCAUGCAAUGCGAAGAUCCCUAGUUCGAUUCUGGGUGUGGGCA